GACGAACGCUGGCGGCGUGCUUAACACAUGCAAGUCGAACGGUGAAGGGGAGCUUGCUCCCUGGAUCAGUGGCGAACGGGUGAGUAACACGUGGGCAACCUGCCCCUGACAUUGGGAUAACUCCUCGAAAGAGGGGCUAAUACCGGAUACGACCACUGGUGGCAUCACCUGGUGGUGGAAAGCUCCGGCGGUCAGGGAUGGGCCCGCGGCCUAUCAGCUUGUUGGCGGGGUAACGGCCCACCAAGGCGAC
RNAcentral lists this ribosomal RNA (250 nucleotides) under uncultured bacterium. RNAcentral's name for it is "partial 16S ribosomal RNA". It matches the Rfam family "Bacterial small subunit ribosomal RNA", at positions 28 to 277 of the family's 1533-position model. The record is from RNAcentral.